UCCGAGUUGUCCCCGGCAGUCCUUUUAGAGUCCCCGGCAUUACCCGCUGGCAACUAAAAGCAGGGGUUGCGCUCGUUGCGGGACUUAACCCAACAUCUCACGACACGAGCUGACGACAACCAUGCACCACCUGUGCACCGACCUUGCGGGGCCACCAUCUCUGGCGGUUUCCGGUGCAUGUCAAGCCUUGGUAAGGUUCUUCGCGUUGCAUCGAAUUAAUCCGCAUGCUCCGCCGCUUGUGCGGGCCCCCGUCAAUUCCUUUGAGUUUCAGUCUUGCGACCGUACUCCCCAGGCGGCGAACUUAACGCGUUAGCUUCGAUACUGCGUGCCAAAUUGCACCCAACAUCCAGUUCGCAUCGUUUAGGGCGUGGACUAC
This 376-nucleotide unclassified non-coding RNA is filed under the name uncultured bacterium. Its description in RNAcentral is "contains 16S-23S intergenic spacer region". The record is from RNAcentral.